This 28-nucleotide non-coding RNA is filed under the name Mus musculus (house mouse). Lineage: Eukaryota; Metazoa; Chordata; Mammalia; Rodentia; Muridae. The record is from RNAcentral.
UGCCCAGUCCUUGUUUAACAAAGGCUCU